RNAcentral lists this ribosomal RNA (376 nucleotides) under Metaphire sieboldi (earthworm). RNAcentral describes it as "partial 16S ribosomal RNA". It matches the Rfam family "Bacterial large subunit ribosomal RNA", at positions 1926 to 2541 of the family's 2925-position model. The record is from RNAcentral. Lineage: Eukaryota; Metazoa; Annelida; Clitellata; Crassiclitellata; Megascolecidae.
AACGGCCGCGGUAUCCUAACCGUGCAAAGGUAGCAUAAUCACUUGCCUAUUAAUUGUAGGCUAGAAUGAAUGGGUUAACGAAAUAAAGACUGUCUCAAUUAAUCACCUAAAAAUUACUAUCUAUCUGAAGAAGAGUAGAUAAUCUCGAAGGACAAGAAGACCCUGUAGAGCUUAAUUUUAAUUAUAGAGCUACACUAUAAAAAUAUUCGGUUGGGGCGACCCAGGGCUAAUCAAUCACCCACUACAUAAAAGAUAAAUUAAUCAAGUAAUUGACCCCUAAAAGAUCAUAAGAACAAGCUACCUUAGGGAUAACAGGCUAAUCCCACUCAAGAGUCCUUAUCAACAGUGGGGUUUGGCACCUCGAUGUUGGCUUAGG